UACGGAGGGGGCUAGCGUUGUUCGGAAUCAUUGGGCGUAAAGAGCUCGUAGGCGGUGUGUCGCGUCGGCCGUGAAAACCUGCAGCUUAACUGUGGGCUUGCGGUCGAUACGGGCAUCACUGGAGUUCGGCAGGGGAGACUGGAAUUCCUGGUGUAGCGGUGAAAUGCGCAGAUAUCAGGAGGAACACCGGUGGCGAAGGCGGGUCUCUGGGCCGAUACUGACGCUGAGGAGCGAAAGCGUGGGGAGCGAACAGG
Molecule: ribosomal RNA, 254 nt
Filed under: uncultured bacterium
Lineage: Bacteria
Description: partial 16S ribosomal RNA
Rfam family: Bacterial small subunit ribosomal RNA
Source: RNAcentral